UGAACGCUGGCGGCGUGCCUAAUACAUGCAAGUCGAACGAGUUCUCGUUGAUGAUCGGUGCUUGCACCGAGAUUCAACAUGGAACGAGUGGCGGACGGGUGAGUAACACGUGGGUAACCUGCCCUUAAGUGGGGGAUAACAUUUGGAAACAGAUGCUAAUACCGCAUAGAUCCAAGAACCGCAUGGUUCUUGGCUGAAAGAUGGCGUAAGCUAUCGCUUUUGGAUGGACCCGCGGCGUAUUAGCUAGUUGGUGAGGUAAUGGCUCACCAAGGCGAUGAUACGUAGCCGAACUGAGAGGUUGAUCGGCCACAUUGGGACUGAGACACGGCCCAAACUCCUACGGGAGGCAGCAGUAGGGAAUCUUCCACAAUGGACGCAAGUCUGAUGGAGCAACGCCGCGUGAGUGAAGAAGGCUUUCGGGUCGUAAAACUCUGUUGUUGGAGAAGAAUGGUCGGCAGAGUAACUGUUGUCGGCGUGACGGUAUCCAACCAGAAAGCCACGGCUAACUACGUGCCAGCAGCCGCGGUAAUACGUAGGUGGCAAGCGUUAUCCGGAUUUAUUGGGCGUAAAGCGAGCGCAGGCGGUUUUUUAAGUCUGAUGUGAAAGCCCUCGGCUUAACCGAGGAAGCGCAUCGGAAACUGGGAAACUUGAGUGCAGAAGAGGACAGUGGAACUCCAUGUGUAGCGGUGAAAUGCGUAGAUAUAUGGAAGAACACCAGUGGCGAAGGCGGCUGUCUGGUCUGUAACUGACGCUGAGGCUCGAAAGCAUGGGGUAGCGAACAGGAUUAGAUACCCCUGGGUAGUC
This 804-nucleotide ribosomal RNA is filed under the name Lactobacillus casei group sp. RNAcentral's name for it is "bacterial SSU rRNA". It matches the Rfam family "Bacterial small subunit ribosomal RNA", at positions 30 to 795 of the family's 1533-position model. Lineage: Bacteria; Bacillati; Bacillota; Bacilli; Lactobacillales; Lactobacillaceae. The record is from RNAcentral.